RNAcentral lists this ribosomal RNA (324 nucleotides) under uncultured eukaryote. Its description in RNAcentral is "partial 18S ribosomal RNA". It matches the Rfam family "Eukaryotic small subunit ribosomal RNA", at positions 1470 to 1796 of the family's 1831-position model. The record is from RNAcentral.
CCCUUAGAUGUCCUGGGCUGCACGCGCGCUACACUGAUGUGUCCAGUAAGCACCUAACCUCUUCCGAAAGGAACGGGUAACCUUUGCAAAGCACAUCGUGAUGGGGAUAGAUUAUUGCAAUUAUUAGUCUUGAACGAGGAAUUCCUAGUAAGCACAAGUCAUCAGCUUGUGUUGAUUACGUCCCUGCCCUUUGUACACACCGCCCGUCGCUCCUACCGAUUGAAUGUUCCGGUGAGCUCUUCGGACUGCGCGGUCUGCAGUUUCUUCGUUCCGUGCGGAAAGUUGCGCAAACCUUAACAUUUAGAGGAAGGAGAAGUCGUAACA